CCUACGGGCGGCUGCAGUGGGGAAUAUUGCACAAUGGGGGAAACCCUGAUGCAGCGACGCCGCGUGAGUGAAGAAGUAAUUCGUUAUGUAAAGCUCUAUCAGCAGGGAAGAAAAUGACGGUACCUGAGUAAGAAGCCCCGGCUAACUACGUGCCAGCAGCCGCGGUCAUACGUAGGGUGCGAGCGUUAUCCGGAUUUACUGGUGGUAAAGGGAGCGUAGACGGAAGUGCAAGUCUGGAGUGAAAGGCGGGGGCUAAACCCCCGGACUGCUCUGGAAACUGUACGGCUGGAGUGCAGGAGGGGGAAGUGGAAUUCCUGGUGUAGCGGGGAAAUGCGUAGAUAUUAGGGGGAACACCAGUGGCGAAGGCGGCUUACUGGACUGUAACUGACGUGGAGGCUCGAAAGCGUGGGGAGCAAACAGGAUUAGAUACCCGGUAGUC
Molecule: ribosomal RNA, 439 nt
Filed under: uncultured bacterium
Lineage: Bacteria
Description: partial 16S ribosomal RNA
Rfam family: Bacterial small subunit ribosomal RNA
Source: RNAcentral